This 1539-nucleotide ribosomal RNA is filed under the name Escherichia coli. Its description in RNAcentral is "bacterial SSU rRNA". It matches the Rfam family "Bacterial small subunit ribosomal RNA". Lineage: Bacteria; Pseudomonadati; Pseudomonadota; Gammaproteobacteria; Enterobacterales; Enterobacteriaceae. The record is from RNAcentral.
AAAUUGAAGAGUUUGAUCAUGGCUCAGAUUGAACGCUGGCGGCAGGCCUAACACAUGCAAGUCGAACGGUAACAGGAAGCAGCUUGCUGCUUCGCUGACGAGUGGCGGACGGGUGAGUAAUGUCUGGGAAACUGCCUGAUGGAGGGGAUAACUACUGGAAACGGUAGCUAAUACCGCAUAACGUCGCAAGACCAAAGAGGGGGACCUUCGGGCCUCUUGCCAUCGGAUGUGCCCAGAUGGGAUUAGCUUGUUGGUGGGGUAACGGCUCACCAAGGCGACGAUCCCUAGCUGGUCUGAGAGGAUGACCAGCCACACUGGAACUGAGACACGGUCCAGACUCCUACGGGAGGCAGCAGUGGGGAAUAUUGCACAAUGGGCGCAAGCCUGAUGCAGCCAUGCCGCGUGUAUGAAGAAGGCCUUCGGGUUGUAAAGUACUUUCAGCGGGGAGGAAGGGAGUAAAGUUAAUACCUUUGCUCAUUGACGUUACCCGCAGAAGAAGCACCGGCUAACUCCGUGCCAGCAGCCGCGGUAAUACGGAGGGUGCAAGCGUUAAUCGGAAUUACUGGGCGUAAAGCGCACGCAGGCGGUUUGUUAAGUCAGAUGUGAAAUCCCCGGGCUCAACCUGGGAACUGCAUCUGAUACUGGCAAGCUUGAGUCUCGUAGAGGGGGGUAGAAUUCCAGGUGUAGCGGUGAAAUGCGUAGAGAUCUGGAGGAAUACCGGUGGCGAAGGCGGCCCCCUGGACGAAGACUGACGCUCAGGUGCGAAAGCGUGGGGAGCAAACAGGAUUAGAUACCCUGGUAGUCCACGCCGUAAACGAUGUCGACUUGGAGGUUGUGCCCUUGAGGCGUGGCUUCCGGAGCUAACGCGUUAAGUCGACCGCCUGGGAGUACGGCCGCAAGGUUAAAACUCAAAUGAAUUGACGGGGGCCCGCACAAGCGGUGGAGCAUGUGGUUUAAUUCGAUGCAACGCGAAGAACCUUACCUGGUCUUGACAUCCACGGAAGUUUUCAGAGAUGAGAAUGUGCCUUCGGGAACCGUGAGACAGGUGCUGCAUGGCUGUCGUCAGCUCGUGUUGUGAAAUGUUGGGUUAAGUCCCGCAACGAGCGCAACCCUUAUCCUUUGUUGCCAGCGGUCCGGCCGGGAACUCAAAGGAGACUGCCAGUGAUAAACUGGAGGAAGGUGGGGAUGACGUCAAGUCAUCAUGGCCCUUACGACCAGGGCUACACACGUGCUACAAUGGCGCAUACAAAGAGAAGCGACCUCGCGAGAGCAAGCGGACCUCAUAAAGUGCGUCGUAGUCCGGAUUGAGUCUGCAACUCGACUCCAUGAAGUCGGAAUCGCUAGUAAUCGUGGAUCAGAAUGCCACGGUGAAUACGUUCCCGGGCCUUGUACACACCGCCCGUCACACCAUGGGAGUGGGUUGCAAAAGAAGUAGGUAGCUUAACCUUCGGGAGGGCGCUUACCACUUUGUGAUUCAUGACUGGGGUGAAGUCGUAACAAGGUAACCGUAGGGGAACCUGCGGUUGGAUCACCUCCUUA